This 429-nucleotide ribosomal RNA is filed under the name Bacteroidota bacterium. RNAcentral's name for it is "Bacteroidetes bacterium partial 16S ribosomal RNA". It matches the Rfam family "Bacterial small subunit ribosomal RNA", at positions 355 to 776 of the family's 1533-position model. Lineage: Bacteria; Pseudomonadati; Bacteroidota. The record is from RNAcentral.
UAGGGAAUCUUCGGCAAUGGGGGGAACCCUGACCGAGCAACGCCGCGUGAGUGAAGAAGGUUUUCGGAUCGUAAAGCUCUGUUGUUAAGGAAGAACGAGUGUGAGAAUGGAAAGUUCAUACUGUGACGGUACUUAACCAGAAAGGGACGGCUAACUACGUGCCAGCAGCCGCGGUAAUACGUAGGUCCCGAGCGGUGUCCGGAUUUAUUGGGCGUAAAGCGAGCGCAGGCGGUUAGAUAAGUCUGAAGUUAAAGGCAGUGGCUCAACCAUUGUAGGCUUUGGAAACUGGUUAACUUGAGUGCAGAAGGGGGGAGUGGACUUCCAUGUGUAGCGGUGAAAUGCGUAGAUAUAUGGAGGAACACCGGUGGCGAAAGCGGCUCUCUGGUCUGUAACUGACGCGGAGGCUCGAAAGCGUGGGGAGCGAACAGG